GGAACAGCAAUAUAUUCCAAGUCAAGAUGGUCAUACGUUAUUGGCAGAGAGAGUGGAUGCAUGUGGAUAUGGUGCCAAUCAAGCAGGCUACUUUGACCUGGAUGGUAUCAAGCUUUUUGAGUGCUGUUGAAGUUGCACCCACCCAAGCAGUGCCACCCAUGCAAGGCACUGCUGACUUGUGCCUUGCAGAAGAUGGACAGAUUUUGGGGAGUCAGGAGUCAGUUCACUGGGACACUCUCACUCAGGUCUGCGUGCUUCAGUCUCAUUGAUGUUUGAAACCUUUCGAAGCAGACCGGACAGAAGAGAAAUAAAAAAUUCA
Non-coding RNA from Chiloscyllium plagiosum (whitespotted bambooshark), 319 nucleotides. NCBI's taxonomy places the organism in Eukaryota, Metazoa, Chordata, Chondrichthyes, Orectolobiformes, Hemiscylliidae. The record is from RefSeq and is a predicted model, not a curated record.